GAGUCCUGCAGCUUUAAUCGGGUGAAGGCAGCGAGGCCACUGGGGCACAUCCCUGCAGGUUUUCUCUCUCGAGGUUUCGGAGGGCGCAGCCUCCUUUUAUCCCAAACUCCGCCACUCGUUGCCCUCUUCCUUCCCCCGCUGGCCGAGGUGUUGCAGCAGUAGCACAACACAAACUGCUCUCACAGGACAUUCAUCUGAAAAAACCAGCAGAAUAAAAAGCGUAAACAAUAAAUCAUUCCUGAACAAGGGAGCUCUGAACUCAAAAACCAUGACAUGGAGCUGUUAUCUGAGUUGUUGCUGUGUCUAAGCAAUAGCAGCCCUGCUCAGCACCAUGUGCAGUGAGUAACCACUGGUGUUCUGCUGUUCCUCUGACAGCUUCCACUCAUCUCACUGCUGCAAGUCUGCCUUGCUUCACAAUCUGACCAUCCCUGCUGAGGGUUGCUGCUUUGAACACAUUCCACUAGCCCAGGUUGCUCCAAGCCCUGUCCAGCCUGGCUUUGAACACUUCCAUUUUGAUUGCUGAGUCUAAACAUUUAUAAAGAAAAAAUAUAUUUUCAUCUACACGCCAGCAAUGAUCUACCCAGUGGCACAGGAGAGAAACAAAAAGCUGAUUUUUCCCUUGCCACAACCCCAGCUGUAAGAAUGUGAACAAUGAGGCACAGAGCACCACUGAAGUUCCAAAGAAAACAAGUUUACAUGCAGACAGGCUUGAGACAGAUAAGCUGACACAAUCUGUAUCCCAUAUGAGGAGCUUUGCUGUGGAAUUUGAAGCCAAUAUUUCAUUCCAUUUUUAAGCAGAAAAUCCUUAUGUCAAGGAAAAAUCUGUAGAGAAAAGCAUGGACUGAGUAUUUGGGGCAAAAGGCAUAAAAAUAAACCUGCACCACUGAA
Non-coding RNA from Taeniopygia guttata (zebra finch), 888 nucleotides. Lineage: Eukaryota; Metazoa; Chordata; Aves; Passeriformes; Estrildidae. The record is from RefSeq and is a predicted model, not a curated record.